AAUAGAUACCCUGGUAGUCCUAGCCGUAAACGAUACUCGCUAGGUGUCGGCCACGGUGCGACCGUUGUCGGUGCCGUAGGGAAGCCGUGAAGCGAGCCACCUGGGAAGUACGGCCGCAAGGCUGAAACUUAAAGGAAUUGGCGGGGGAGCACCACAACGGGUGGAGCUUGCGGUUUAAUUGGAUUCAACGCCGGAAAUCUUACCGGGACCGACAGCAACAUGAAGGCCAGGCUGAAGACUUUGCCGGAUUAGCUGAGAGGUGGUGCAUGGCCGUCGUCAGUUCGUACUGUGAAGCAUCCUGUUAAGUCAGGCAACGAGCGAGACCCACGCCCACAGUUGCCAGCGUACUCUCUGGAGUGACGGGUACACUGUGGGGACCGCCGCUGCUAAAGCGGAGGAAGGAAUGGGCAACGGUAGGUCAGUAUGCCCCGAAUAUCCCGGGCUACACGCGAGCUACAAUGGUUGGUACAAUGGGUAUCUACCCCGAAAGGGGAUGGAAAUCUCCUAAAGCCAAUCUUAGUUCGGAUUGAGGGCUGCAACUCG
Molecule: ribosomal RNA, 543 nt
Filed under: uncultured bacterium
Lineage: Bacteria
Description: bacterial SSU rRNA
Rfam family: Archaeal small subunit ribosomal RNA
Source: RNAcentral